This 73-nucleotide transfer RNA is filed under the name Alosa alosa (allis shad). RNAcentral describes it as "tRNA-OTHER". Lineage: Eukaryota; Metazoa; Chordata; Actinopteri; Clupeiformes; Clupeidae. The record is from RNAcentral.
CCAGCCGUGGCCUACUGGUUAGUGCUUUGGACUUGUAACCGAAGGUUGCCGGUUCAAACCCUGACCAGUAGGA